This is a long non-coding RNA of Hippopotamus amphibius kiboko, 428 nucleotides long. RefSeq lists it as uncharacterized. NCBI's taxonomy places the organism in Eukaryota, Metazoa, Chordata, Mammalia, Artiodactyla, Hippopotamidae. The transcript has 3 exons. The record is from RefSeq and is a predicted model, not a curated record.
CUAGGCUCCUAGACAUAAAGUUAUCAAGGCUGGAGAGGAUGGAGUUGAUUUAUAGCUCUGAAGGAGUCUGCUAGAAGGGGCCCUGAGACCCUUGAAGGCAUCUCUUCUGCGCAUCUGCAGUGCUGUUCCAGCACCUCACACUUAGUGUGUGUCAUAUGAAACUGAUGAACAGAGGAAAACAAUGAUGGACAGAGAACACGUGCACUUUGAUGAAGAGGAGCAGCUCUACAUCUGUUAGACCUUUCUGGGAUCUGCAGGCUUCUUUGGAAGCAGUUAGGGUGUGGCAUGUAGAAUUGCUGGCCCUAAGCAACACCCAAGGGAACAUUUUCCUAAGUACUCUUAUCAGUAAGAAAGCUUGUGUUUCCUGACAAUCCAAGACUUAAAACAGUGGACCAAUCUGAAGUGUUCUGUUUUCAUAAAGAGUAAUA